This 253-nucleotide ribosomal RNA is filed under the name uncultured bacterium. RNAcentral's name for it is "partial 16S ribosomal RNA". It matches the Rfam family "Bacterial small subunit ribosomal RNA", at positions 524 to 776 of the family's 1533-position model. The record is from RNAcentral.
UACGAAGGGUGCAAGCGUUACUCGGAAUUACUGGGCGUAAAGCGUGCGUAGGUGGUUCGUUAAGUCUGUCGUGAAAGCCCCGGGCUCAACCUGGGAAUGGCGAUGGAUACUGGCGGGCUAGAGUGCGGUAGAGGGUGGUGGAAUUCCCGGUGUAGCAGUGAAAUGCGUAGAGAUCGGGAGGAACAUCAGUUGCGAAGGCGGCCACCUGGACUAGCACUGACACUGAGGCACGAAAGCGUGGGGAGCAAACAGG